RNAcentral lists this transfer RNA (93 nucleotides) under Candidatus Geothermarchaeota archaeon ex4572_27. RNAcentral describes it as "tRNA-Lys". It matches the Rfam family "tRNA". Rfam says of the family: Transfer RNA (tRNA) molecules are approximately 80 nucleotides in length. Their secondary structure includes four short double-helical elements and three loops (D, anti-codon, and T loops). The record is from RNAcentral. Lineage: Archaea; Thermoproteati; Candidatus Geothermarchaeota.
GGGCCCGUAGCUCAGCCAGGUAGAGGAUUGUCCGCUUAAAGCGCCGGGCUUUUAACCCGGAGGUCCCGGGUUCGAAUCCCGGCGGGCCCGCCA